UUCAAGAGUCACAUCUGCAUCUGGAUGUGAAAAGCAGCUCCACAAAGCCACAGCAACAGGCAGGAUUUGACUUUGGUUUGAAAGACUGCAACCCUGAUGGUUUCGUGUUUAUAGAACGAAGAAGGACAUCUUGUAAAGGCGCCUUUUUAUGUGUGGAGAGACCAUAAAAAUGAGACAGGAAGUAGAUGGCUCUUCCAGCCAGUAGACUCCAUCACUGAAACUUAAGACCUAAUUAGAUCCUUCAAAGCACCUUGGAAGCAAUAAACCACAAAGGUACUUAAGCUGACGACUCA
Molecule: long non-coding RNA, 293 nt
Filed under: Coturnix japonica (Japanese quail)
Lineage: Eukaryota; Metazoa; Chordata; Aves; Galliformes; Phasianidae
Description: lncRNA (ENSCJPG00005014054.1)
Source: RNAcentral